GAGUUUGCUGGCACAGAACCGAGUUUGGAAGAUUACUUUGAAGGUCUGAAUUUACAUGGGGAGGAAGAGGAAGAUCUGGACCUAUCAGCGGAGGUAGAUGAUUUGAUCAAGGAUGUCAGAUGGCUAGGAUUGUUUCGAGUUCAUACUCCGAAGCCUUUCGGUCAUGCCGCGUUGCUUAACCAGAUGAGAAAUGCUUGGUCGUCAGCACAAGGGGUUACAUUUAAUAUCAAGGGGCCGAAUCUUUUCUUGGUUCAAUGCCAUUGUCUGGGAGAUUGGAAACGUGUAAUGGAGGGUGGGCCUUGGGUAUUCAAGGGAGCUCCAAUUGUUAUACAAGAAUAUGAUGGGUUCACUAAUGUCACAGACUAUGCACUCAACAUGAUUCCGGUAUGGGCUAGGUAA
This 399-nucleotide ribosomal RNA is filed under the name Triticum aestivum (bread wheat). RNAcentral describes it as "partial small subunit ribosomal RNA". The record is from RNAcentral. Lineage: Eukaryota; Viridiplantae; Streptophyta; Magnoliopsida; Poales; Poaceae.